AACGAACGCUGGCGGCAUGCCUAACACAUGCCAGUCGAACGAGACCUUCGGGUCUAGUGGCGCACGGGUGCGUAACGGGUGGGAACAUGCCCUUAGGUUUGGAAGAACUCCCCGAAUGGGGUGCGAAUACCGGAUAAUGUCUCCGGUCCAAAGAUUUAUCGCCUUUGGAUGGGCCGGCGUUGGAUUAGCUAGUUGGUAGGGUAAAAGCCUACCAAGGCGAAGAUCCAUAGCUGGUCAGAGAGGAUGAUCAGCCACACUGGGACUGAGACACGGCCCAGACUCCUACGGGAGGCAGCAGUGGGGAAUAUUGGACAAUGGGCGAAUGCCUGAUCCAGCAAUGCCGCGUGAGUGAUGAAGGCCUUAGGGUUGUAAAACUCUGUUACCCGGGAUGAUAAUGACAGUACCGGGAGAAUAAGCCACGGCUAACUCCGUG
RNAcentral lists this ribosomal RNA (433 nucleotides) under uncultured bacterium. Its description in RNAcentral is "partial 16S ribosomal RNA". It matches the Rfam family "Bacterial small subunit ribosomal RNA", at positions 29 to 507 of the family's 1533-position model. The record is from RNAcentral.